UUGACGGAGAGUUUGAUCCUGGCUCAGGGUUAACGCUGGCGGUGCGCAUAACACAUGCAAGUCGAGCGAGGGCUCAUUUCCCGCAAGGGAGAUGGGUUCCUAGCGGCGAACGGGUGAGUAACACGUGGGCAACCUUUCCUAUCGCGGGGGAUAACAGCGGGAAACCGCUGCUAAUACCGCAUGUAGUCACCGGUCGCAUGGCCGGUGAAAAAAGCAGCAAUGCACGAUGGGGUGGGCCCGCGGCCUAUCAGCUAGUCGGUGGGGUAACGGCCUACCGAGGCGAUGACGGGUAGCUGGUCUGAGAGGACGACCAGCCACACGGGGACUGAGACACGGCCCCGACUCCUACGGGAGGCAGCAGUGAGG
Molecule: ribosomal RNA, 366 nt
Filed under: Chloroflexota bacterium
Lineage: Bacteria; Bacillati; Chloroflexota
Description: bacterial SSU rRNA
Rfam family: Bacterial small subunit ribosomal RNA
Source: RNAcentral